This 577-nucleotide ribosomal RNA is filed under the name uncultured archaeon. RNAcentral describes it as "bacterial SSU rRNA". It matches the Rfam family "Archaeal small subunit ribosomal RNA", at positions 324 to 903 of the family's 1478-position model. The record is from RNAcentral.
GACGGGGAGCAGCAGGCGCGAAAACUUUGCAAUGUGCGAAAGCACGACAAGGUUAAUCCGAGUGAUUCCUGCUAAAGGAAUCUUUUGUUAGUCAUAAUACCACUGAUGAAUAAGGGGUGGGCAAGUUCUGGUGUCAGCCGCCGCGGUAAAACCAGCACCUCAAGUGGUCAGGAUGUUUAUUGGGCCUAAAGCAUCCGUAGCCGGCUUUGUUAGUUUUCGGUUAAAUCCUUAUGCUCAACAUAUGGGCCGCCGGGAAUACUACAAAGCUAUGGAGUGGGAGAGGUAGACGGUACUCCGUGGGAAGGGGUAAAAUCCUUUGAUCUAUGGAUGACCACCAGUGGCGAAGGCGGUCUACCAGAACACGUUCGACGGUGAGGGAUGAAAGCUGGGGGAGCAAACCGGAUUAAUACCCGGGUAGUCCCAGCUGUAAACUAUGCAAACUCAGUGAUGCAUUGGCUUGUGGCCAGUGCAGUGCCGCAGAGAAAUCCUUAAGUUUGCCGCCUGGGAAGUACGUACGCAAGUAUGAAACUUAAAGGAAUUGGGGGGGGAGCACAAUCUCUAAAGGAUCCCCGGGUAC